This 764-nucleotide ribosomal RNA is filed under the name uncultured delta proteobacterium. RNAcentral describes it as "bacterial SSU rRNA". It matches the Rfam family "Bacterial small subunit ribosomal RNA", at positions 8 to 744 of the family's 1533-position model. The record is from RNAcentral. Lineage: Bacteria; Deltaproteobacteria.
AGAGUUUGAUCCUGGCUCAGAAUGAACGCUGGCGGCGUGCUUAACACAUGCAAGUCGCACGAGAGCGCUUCAGCUUGCUGAAGUUAGUAAAGUGGCGCACGGGUGAGUAACGCGUGGGUAAUCUACCCCCGAAUUGGGGAUAACAUUGCGAAAGCGAUGCUAAUACCGAAUGAUAUCUUAAGUCCUUAGGUACCUAAGAUCAAAGAUGGUCUCUACAUGUAAGCUAUUGUUUGGGGAUGAGCCCGCGUACCAUUAGCUUGUUGGUAGGGUAAUGGCCUACCAAGGCUGCGAUGGUUAGCUGGUCUGAGAGGACGAUCAGCCACACUGGAACUGACACACGGUCCAGACUCCUACGGGAGGCAGCAGUGAGGAAUUUUGCGCAAUGGGGGAAACCCUGACGCAGCAACGCCGCGUGAGUGAUGAAGGCUUUCGGGUCGUAAAGCUCUGUCAAGUGGGAAGAACCCACGUGGUGCUAAUAUCACCAUGUGCUGACGGUACCACUGAAGGAAGCACCGGCUAACUCCGUGCCAGCAGCCGCGGUAAUACGGGGGGUGCAAGCGUUAUUCGGAAUUAUUGGGCGUAAAGGGCGCGUAGGCGGUCUCUAAAGCCAGAUGUGAAAGCCCGGGGCUUAACCCCGGAAGUGCAUUUGAAACUUAGGGACUUGAGUAUGGGAGAGGGAAGUGGAAUUCCUGGUGUAGCGGUGAAAUGCGUAGAUAUCAGGAGGAGCACCAGUGGCGAAGGCGACUUCCUGGGCCAAUACUGAC